This 484-nucleotide ribosomal RNA is filed under the name uncultured bacterium. RNAcentral's name for it is "partial 16S ribosomal RNA". It matches the Rfam family "Bacterial small subunit ribosomal RNA", at positions 30 to 507 of the family's 1533-position model. The record is from RNAcentral.
AUUGAACGCUGGCGGCAGGCCUAACACAUGCAAGUCGAGCGGAUGAAGGGAGCUUGCUCCUGGAUUCAGCGGCGGACGGGUGAGUAAUGCCUAGGAAUCUGCCUGGUAGUGGGGGAUAACGUCCGGAAACGGGCGCUAAUACCGCAUACGUCCUGAGGGAGAAAGUGGGGGAUCUUCGGACCUCACGCUAUCAGAUGAGCCUAGGUCGGAUUAGCUAGUUGGUGGGGUAAAGGCCUACCAAGGCGACGAUCCGUAACUGGUCUGAGAGGAUGAUCAGUCCCACUGGAACUGAGACACGGUCCAGACUUCUACGGGAGGCAGCAGUGGGGAAUAUUGGACAAUGGGCGAAAGCCUGAUCCAGCCAUGCCGCGUGUGUGAAGAAGGUCUUCGGAUUGUAAAGCACUUUAAGUUGGGAGGAAGGGCAGUAAGUUAAUACCUUGCUGUUUUGACGUUACCAACAGAAUAAGCACCGGCUAACUUCGUG